This is a long non-coding RNA of Notolabrus celidotus (New Zealand spotty), 1018 nucleotides long. RefSeq lists it as uncharacterized. Lineage: Eukaryota; Metazoa; Chordata; Actinopteri; Labriformes; Labridae. The transcript has 2 exons. The record is from RefSeq and is a predicted model, not a curated record.
GACUCCUACGGGUUACAGCUGGACUGCCUGCCAUAAAAAUGCUGGAUAGGCAGUUUGGGAGGCCACAAAGAGAUUUCACAACGCUCAGAGACAGAACUGACCCAGUCUAUGUGUCUCACCUCCAGGUACGAGUGCUCUCUAUCAGGCCGCUUAUUUGGGAACGUCAGAUCCAUGAAGUCCACCAAGUAAUCGUAGCCGUUGGUGAGGGGCUCAAAGUUUUCAUCGGUCUCAGUCACCUUGAACAAACACGUUUGCAUUUCAUCAAACAGAUAUCUGAUAUGAACGGGUGGCAACAGAAAGGAAGAAAGGAACAGAUUUCAGUCCAUACCCAGAGAAAUAGAGGAUAGCUGUUAAAGAGAGCCCAGGAGGAUAAAAGUAGUACAGAAAGAGAAAGGUAAGGUUGCUAGUUAUGAUGUGUACACAUUUAGGACUUCUUAAAUGUGCUUUAUUUAACCUUGCUUUUCCUCAACACAUUUUUAGAGUUACUGCAUAAAUAUUCUAUAUUGCUAACCCAGCGUGCUUUUACUUGCAAAAAAUGUGUGCACAGGAUUUACAUUGUGCAUGCAGGAUAUUGUCCUCUGCAGGAUGUUGUUGGUGUGCUGCAGUCAUGUCCACAUGUCCCUGCAGCUUUUUCAUGUUCUGCUUUAUCUCUCUGUUAUAGACAGACUCGGCAGCUGCACUGAAUCGGUUGUCUGAUUUGAAUUUUCAUAGGAUUUCAUGUUGUGUUCAUUUUGUUAGAAAUGCUAGGUAGUGAAUGUAAAGUUGAUCGGAUCAUCAGCAAAUACACCACUUUGUUUAGGAACGAAUUUUCUGGAACAUCUCCUGGAACAUUUUUAAAUCUUUUUCUUUUAGCAACAACACAAGUUCACUAUUUUCAUUAGUCGAAUUCUUUUACCACAAAAUACCACUGAAGUAUGCCACAGCUUCAGCUCCCCUCCCCACCUUUUUUUUAGCACUGCCAGGCAAACAUCAGCAUGUACACUUUCAAGGACAAAUAAAAUGUACCUGCUAAACCUGA